This 253-nucleotide ribosomal RNA is filed under the name uncultured bacterium. RNAcentral's name for it is "partial 16S ribosomal RNA". It matches the Rfam family "Bacterial small subunit ribosomal RNA", at positions 524 to 776 of the family's 1533-position model. The record is from RNAcentral.
UACGUAGGGCGCAAGCGUUGUCCGGAAUUAUUGGGCGUAAAGAGCUCGUAGGCGGUUUGUCAAGUCGGCUGUGAAAACCCGAGGCUCAACCUCGGGCCUGCAGUCGAUACGGGCAGACUAGAGUGCUGUAGGGGAGACUGGAAUUCCUGGUGUAGCGAUGAAAUGCGCAGAUAUCAGGAGGAACACCGGUGGCGAAGGCGGGUCUCUGGGCAGUAACUGACGCUGAGGAGCGAAAGCGUGGGGAGCAAACAGG